This 495-nucleotide ribosomal RNA is filed under the name uncultured bacterium. RNAcentral's name for it is "partial 16S ribosomal RNA". It matches the Rfam family "Bacterial small subunit ribosomal RNA", at positions 28 to 507 of the family's 1533-position model. The record is from RNAcentral.
GACGAACGCUGGCGGCGUGCCUAAUACAUGCAAGUAGAACGCUGAAGGAGGAGCUUGCUUCUCUGGAUGAGUUGCGAACGGGUGAGUAACGCGUAGGUAACCUGCCUGGUAGCGGGGGAUAACUAUUGGAAACGAUAGCUAAUACCGCAUAAUAGUAGAUGUUGCAUGACAUUUGCUUAAAAGGUGCAAUUGCAUCACUACCAGAUGGACCUGCGUUGUAUUAGCUAGUUGGUGGGGUAACGGCUCACCAAGGCGACGAUACAUAGCCGACCUGAGAGGGUGAUCGGCCACACUGGGAGUGAGACACGGCCCAGACUCCUACGGGAGGCAGCAGUAGGGAAUCUUCGGCAAUGGACGGAAGUCUGACCGAGCAACGCCGCGUGAGUGAAGAAGGUUUUCGGAUCGUAGAGCUCUGUUGUAAGAGAAGAACGAGUGUUAGAGUGGAAAGUUCACACUGUGACGGUAUCUGACCAGAAAGGGACGGCUAACUACGUG